RNAcentral lists this ribosomal RNA (253 nucleotides) under uncultured bacterium. Its description in RNAcentral is "partial 16S ribosomal RNA". It matches the Rfam family "Bacterial small subunit ribosomal RNA", at positions 524 to 776 of the family's 1533-position model. The record is from RNAcentral.
UACGGAGGGUGCAAGCGUUAUCCGGAUUUACUGGGUUUAAAGGGUGCGUAGGUGGGUAGGUAAGUCAGUGGUGAAAUCUCCGGGCUUAACCCGGAAACUGCCAUUGAUACUAUUUAUCUUGAAUACUUUGGAGGUAAGCGGAAUAUGUCAUGUAGCGGUGAAAUGCUUAGAUAUGACAUAGAACACCAAUUGCGAAGGCAGCUUACUAAAUUGUAACUGACGCUGAGGCACGAAAGCGUGGGGAUCAAACAGG